Raphanus sativus (radish) is the source of this 5399-nucleotide RNA transcript. It is a transcript of the gene named protein SHORTAGE IN CHIASMATA 1, with no coding region annotated. Lineage: Eukaryota; Viridiplantae; Streptophyta; Magnoliopsida; Brassicales; Brassicaceae. The record is from RefSeq and is a predicted model, not a curated record. The transcript is spliced from 9 exons.
CCACCUCCAUCGCCGUCGUCUCCGUUGCAGCAGUCGUCUCACAAGUCACAUCCACGAAGAGUCCGGACGAUGCGAGGUCGAUUUCUCAACGUCGAUUACUUCUCCAUUCCACCUUCUCAGGUAUACGAAGCCCUAGGCUUCCUCAACCUCCCGGCUCCCGACGAUUUCCCGCCUCCUCUCUUCCGCGACACGAGAGAAGAGUUUCUCCGAUUCGAACCUGUCGAAGGCUUCUCUCUCCCGAUCGAGGAUCUUCCAAUCGGAGAUGCGUUGUCGAGGUUCCUCUCCGACGUGGUUCCCGAUCGCGUCAGCGUCGACUAUGGAGCCUUCGAGAUGGAUUACUCCUCCCUCGGAGACGAGCUGAGGUUUAUUCUCCGCCGUGGAGAUCCUCGGUUCCUCGAGAAGAGUGAAGGAGAUGCCGUUGAGGAGAAAGCUACACUAGAUUUUAACAUUGUUCAGCUGGAGACUCCAGAGAUGGAUUUCGAAAUGGAGAAUAAGCUCUCAUCCAAGAUUGAGGAUCUCCAAUGCCUCUCCAAAGUUCUAGAGAUCCGAAAUGAGCCGGUUAAGUUCGAGGAGUCAGAUGUUGUUCUAAAGAACUCAAGUGACAUCAAACAGAAGAUUUAUUCUGUUGAUUGCGUUUCUUCUGAUUACUUUACGGAGAAGAGUACUUCGGUGAAAGAAGAUGAAUGCUUCCGCAAGAACCGACCAUGGUUCAGAGAUGCGGUAUUUCCUCUUCUAGAAGUGGAUGAAGUAAACUUGAACGAACUAUCAAGCCUGUCUAUGCUUGAUAAAGUAUUUGCUGUUCUUGAAACGAUUGAGCCCAGAGAUAUGGAUACAGAGAGUUCUCUCGGUUUGAAUUCUAAGGAGCUUAUAGGCUCUAAGGGUUAUGAUAUAUUGGAUAUCCUCUCUACGGAUUGCUAUUCAAACAAGAGUGUCCAGUCUGAUGUGGUACCGCAGGAGAUUGAUAUAGUGACUAUCUUGGAAAUACCAAAUCCUGUGGAAAGCUUUCAGUUUGGACAGGGAAAGCUGGCUGUUGAUGUGGUCUCGGUAAGUUUUGAGGAAGUUCAGAUCUUGGAUGUGGAGAUGUAUGAUGUUUUUGGUAGCUUCCUUUGUCUGCAACAAGCCACUGAACCAGAAAUAUGUCCCGGGAUGUUCAGUGAAGAGAUGAACUUCAAGAAUUUCGAUGAAUUAGUUGUCAGUUCUGAACUUGCCUUCGCAGAUGAUGCUUUCAAGUCUCUGCCAAUUCCUAUCUUACAUGAUUAUGAGAUGACAAGAUCUCUGGAACUCAUUUAUGAGAAUUAUUUGUCAAAGAUCAAGCCUCAAGCCUUUCCUGCAUCAAAUGACAUAUACUUGCCGUUGAACCUUCUUGAGGAGACAAAGCACAGCCAUGAAGCCCAUUUUUGUGAUUAUCUGUCUGAAGAAAUAGUUACAUGCAACAUUGAUUAUGAUUUGGAAUCUUUAGAAGGAGACAAAUGGGUUUAUGAUUUCGUGCUCUCUGAAGAUGCUUUCUGUCAGCCACUUGUAGAGAGAUGCACUGAACCUUUUUGUGGUAUAUCUACCCUUGAUGAGCAUCCUCCAGUCAAUACUUCUCAUGGUUUAUUGGAACACCCUUGUCCAGAAACAGGAGCCGGUGAUUGUGGAAGGGAUGAUCAUGCCAAAAAGGCUGCCAUGUUGUUCAAAUCAAUGUCUGCUUUUGAUGACUUAAGUUUUUUCAUGGAUCCUCAGAAAGCUGUGAUUGAAGAGAAUCUUGAGUCUAGAGUCGAAGCUGCUAAGACUGUCAACCAUAAAAUUACGUCCACUGACUCAAAGGCUCCAUGUAUAUCUGGUGGUGGCAUGCACCCAAGCUCGAAGACAGAGGAUAUGAAAGUUCACAGUGUGCGCCCUUCAGAAAAUAUUCUGGCCCUUGUUCGGGAUUUUGAGAAGAGCUAUUUAACUCUCGUGAAGGAUGAUGAAGAUUUGAUUUCAACUUUAUCAGAAGAUAAACUGAAGUUACUCAGCAUUUCGAAAGGAAAGCUUAUCGACUGCAUACGAAAGGCAAAUGUCCACAAAACAUGGUCAUCGGAUGAUAAGACUUUCACGUUUGCAUUGCUACUAGCAAUUAAACAGAUGACAUGGUAUUUAUGUUUCUUUGGUAUCCGUGUGGCAUAUCUCUAUCUUAACAAGCUAUGUCGGAGCUCAAAUCCCAUGAAGCUAGGAUUGCACACGCUUUACUCAUCAUUUGAAUCAGAACACAUGUCAACUGAGGGAGACAUCACUAGAUCACAUCCAUCCCUAGCUGUCAUCCAUGGGAUUUUACAGUCAAAAUGUGUCCGUGGGAAUUCCAAAGCGUUACUUUUGGCGGAGAAAGUUUUUUGGUCCUCGCUGAAGAGGCUAUUGGUGUCUAUGGGGUUAUCUUACAAUGAGCUCAACAGUCCGUCCCCAAGUGGAAAUCAACCGAAUCUUAACGAAGCAACAGAACUCUGUAUCCUGCCAACCACAGACUGUCUACUUGUCGCUUACGAGCGCAUUUCUCCAUCUUUUCGUGUGGAGAAUUUCACCGUCAUUGUAGAAUAUGGAGGUCCAAAUGCGUCGCCCAGAGUCUCAUCUCCUUUAAAGUUGGACUCCUGUCCUUGCUUUCAUUUUAUAAAAGUGGAGCUGGAUAUGUCCAGUGCGUGCGGGCAACUCUCUGCAGGUGUUACAGUACCUUAUAGUCUCAAAAUGGUAAAGGGAGAUGAAUAUGAGACGAAAACUGGGUGGUUGGAAGAAGUGUUGAACUUUGUUCCACUUGAAAGUUUGUGUUCCGCUGAAUCUUCAGAAUCUACGAAGGAAUCUAAAUCUGACUUCGUGCCUCGAGAAUCUGGAAGAAAAAUUGGGAUAAAUGAGCAGGGAGUUCUCUCUGACCAAAUAGCUGUGAUUGUAGUGAACACAAAAACUGUUGACAAGGAGAUGAUAAUAUCCAGAAGAAGUACAUAUCAAAAGGUCUUGGCAAUGGAAAAAGAAGGAGUGCAAGUUGUGGAGCGCGAUUCCGAUCUACCUGUGGACCUGAUGCUAAGUCCUGCGAUUUGUCUAGUCUGGUAUGAUUGUGGAAGUGUUAGUAAGAAGUCGGACGCAACUAUUGGUGCUUCCUCAAGCUCACUUUCAUGGAUUGGGGAUAUCGCAACCAAUGUUUUGACGUCAUUGAGCUUCGGUUUCAGCACCUGUGUUAUGGUUUUUGAGGGGGAACCCACUUGCCUGGCUACAGUAAUGGACUCUUCUGACGAACUGUAUGCAGCAGCUGGCAGCCUGGGAAUCAAUUUACAGAUCUUUUGCUCAUCAUCAGCUAAAUUAACUGAUGCAAUUAUACUGAGGUGUAUCAAAUCUUCUGUUAAAUCUUCACAAGUCCAUGCCAAAAUGCCCGAGUCAGAAUCUCUUGCAGAAUCAUUUCUCACCAAGUUUCCUUCCGUGAAUCCACUGACAGCUCAUGUAAUUUUGUCAUCUACUGGAUCACUUCUCGAAUUCAUGAAGCUCCCACAUACUAGCAAGGUUCAAAUGUUGCAAAAGUACCAUGUACCUGAAGAGAGUGUUGAACUCUUCAGUUCAUUAUCCAGAUACGGUGCGAGGGAAGACUCCAAAUCUGUAAUGACAGACAGCUCUUCUUCUGUAUCUUCUGGACAUGACUCAGACGCCCACCAUUUCAGUGUCCAUUCUGGUUCGAAAAGGAAACAGUACAUUACUGGGAAAGAUGAGACUAAUAUGGACGACUUUGUCCAUUGUGUUCCCUCGACAGAGUUUGCUGGUAUGAAGCGCAAGCCUUCAGGGGAUUUCCAACUUGACGAUCCUUGGUCAUCUAGAGAUCAUGAGAUGUUUCAUUUUGACCCUGUCACUGAAUUCCCAGAUGCACCUCUCAAACCUUCUGGGAUCAUUCAUCGUAACGACUCUUGGCCAUCUAAAGAUCCUGAGAGGUUUGACAAGAACUCAGGACCUGGUUCUUCAUCAAAGGACACGUUCUGGGAGAAUGAUUUUGGAGUCGAGGAAAACCUUCCUGGAUUUGAAAGUUGGAGUUUACCCGUUACCGAUGAUUUCAUGAGUCAGAACAGAGGACGCAAGCUUCCUGUGAUGGGAGAAGCUAACUUGCACGACACUAGAAACUCAGAGAACUUCAUGGGAGACUUCAAAGGUGAAGUUAUCAACAUAGAGAAUAAUAAGUUUCUCGAGGAAGACUUCCCUCCUUCUCCUGCUUAUAACAGGUACUCUCCAACAGUUUCUCAUGUUGCUGAAGAUCCGAGAAAAUCCAAGUCUGCAAGGAAGUUAUCUUUCUCUGGAUCUAUCCAGCCUAUCUUCCCAACGUCAGCUGAGAUUAACUUCAAUUCUGAAAGGCUACCCACCGAAUCAACUACUCCUUCGCGUGGCUAUGUUGAUAACUUCCCAGCAAAACGGCAACGGACUCUUCUGGAAGAAGUCUUAACACGGAGAUCUGCAGUUUCCACAACAGAUCAUCCAUUUCAAGAAGAGAUUUCACAUUUUGGUGGGUCUCCACUAUCAAACGCAAUCCGUUCUCCAGAUCCAGUACAAGGUUCUCCUUGGACUGUUGAUUUCCUCAACAGAGUCAGAGAAAGGAGUACAGAAAGGAAGCAGAAACAAUCUCUUCCUUCUUAUAUCACUCCCUCUAGUUUGGAAGCUCGAGGGGACCCAAAGAAACCUAAUAUCAAGAGGAAGAGUCCUUCCAUGCUAGAGUUUUUCAAGCAUAAAGGAGGCAAUGCUCGUAGCAGAGUUCCAGAAGAGAGAAAGCAGAAGCGGUUCAAGAAUUCUUCAGCCUCGCCACAAAACGAGAGAUUUGACUCGAUUCUUAGGUCGACUACGCCAAUUGAUAAGCGAGCAAAACAGACUCUAUCCUUCGCUGUGAAUGGAUCUGGAAGGCAAACAAAACUGGUCUGGAAGUAGAGAAGCAAACACAACCGUACAGUUAGACAUUCAGUGUGGAGCAAUCUUUAUAUCUGAUGUUUGAUGGCCAUAAGAAGAGGCUUUUGAGGAUCGGAGCCAUCGUACUGCUUAAGCUCCUCCUCCGUGAUCUCACCGACCUGAACAGGCUGAGUAACCGGUGGCACUUCCACUGUAGCUGACGAUCUAGCCCUCAGAUAAUCGAGCAGCGAAGCAAAACAGCUUGAGAUAACAUAGUAAAUGCCGUAGGCGCUGAUGAGAGCGAGGACGAGAAAGACGGCAGCCAAGACAGCAACGUGAUAGUAAUGUAUUACUUCUUCCAAAAAUUGCACAAUUUUCCAUUGUAGUAGCGCCAUAUUUUGAAAAGGUUCUCUCACUUUUGUCUUUGGAAGUCAGAACGUUAUGCAUAUAUAUAUACACUAGUGCUCGGCCAGCUCGGGUGUUAUACAUUUAGGAUCAAUUUUUCUGAGGGACCUUUGAUAAUAAAAAAUAUUUUUAAUUUGCUA